UGGGAUUCAUUUUCCAUCCUAUUCCUUUCUCUCCUCUAGUCAGCUGGUAAUUUGGGGGAUUGCUGGCUUUUGGCUGACCUCUCCAGCUUCAGAGUACAAUGGAGUUCAGGUUGUGACCUCCAGGAAGCCAAUUUGAGGGGCUCUGAUGUGAAAGGAGCCAUCUUUGAAGAGAUGCUGACCCCCCUGCACAUGUCCCAGAGCGUCAGAUAGGGAAGAGAACACACAGAAGAGGAAGGAAUCCAAACAUUUGUUGUGAUUUUCUUCACCUCCUCCCCUUCCUGAGUUAGAAGGAAUGGUUAUUAGACAACUUCCAUUUGCA
Pseudopipra pipra is the source of this 319-nucleotide long non-coding RNA. RefSeq lists it as uncharacterized. Lineage: Eukaryota; Metazoa; Chordata; Aves; Passeriformes; Pipridae. The transcript is spliced from 2 exons. The record is from RefSeq and is a predicted model, not a curated record.